GUCCUUUUGGUUAAGUAAAAGGUCUGGCCUGCCCAGUGAGUUUUUAACGGCCGCGGUAUCUUGACCGUGCAAAGGUAGCAUAAUCAUUAGUCUUUUAAUAGGAGGCUGGAAUGAAGGGUUUCACGAAACGUAGACUGUCUCAUAUGUAUUAGUUGAAUUUAACUUUUAAGUUAAAAGGCUUAAAUUAUUUUGUAGGACGAGAAGACCCUAUAGAGCUUUACAUUAUUAAUCUUUUUUUAUUUAGUUAAAUAAUAUUAUUUUGAGGUGAAGUAAUGUUUUGUUGGGGUGACGAGAAUAUAUGAUUAACUUUUAUUAUUUUAUUAACAUUAAUAUAUGAUUAAUGGAUCCAUUAUUAUUGAUCAUUAGAAUAAGUUACCUUAGGGAUAACAGCGUAAUCUUCUUUCAGAGUUCAAAUUUACAAGAAGGGUUGCGACCUCGAUGUUGGAUUAAGAUAAUAGUUAGGUGCAGUAGCUUAAUUUAUAGGUCUGUUCGACCUUUAAAAUCUUACAUGAUCUGAGUUCAGACCGG
RNAcentral lists this ribosomal RNA (528 nucleotides) under Protoneura paucinervis. Its description in RNAcentral is "partial 16S ribosomal RNA". It matches the Rfam family "Bacterial large subunit ribosomal RNA", at positions 1829 to 2619 of the family's 2925-position model. The record is from RNAcentral. Lineage: Eukaryota; Metazoa; Arthropoda; Insecta; Odonata; Coenagrionidae.